RNAcentral lists this transfer RNA (74 nucleotides) under Pelecanus crispus (Dalmatian pelican). It matches the Rfam family "tRNA". From Rfam's summary of the family: Transfer RNA (tRNA) molecules are approximately 80 nucleotides in length. Lineage: Eukaryota; Metazoa; Chordata; Aves; Pelecaniformes; Pelecanidae. The record is from Rfam by way of RNAcentral.
ACCGGGUUAGCUCAGCUGGUUAGAGCGUGGUGCUAAUAACGCCAAGGUCACAGGUUCAAUCCCUGCUCACUGCA